UGAAUAUCAAUCGGUCAAAGAUGGUAAAGUUUGCAAGUAUUCGUGGGGUUUUGCCGGUGCUGGUAAUAAAUAGCCAUCAGGGUCUAAUACGUCUGGUGUACGAAUGGUGACCGGACCUUGAGGUGGUCUUGGAUCAGUUUUCCAACAUUCUCGCAUUAUUUGGCAGACAAAUGGUGGACAUCCUUCCGGAGGUAUAAGCAUUAUGCCUUGAAAAAUUAGCUUCACUACCUGAAGGUAUCACGAUAAUUUAAUAAAGCGUUUAUCUUUUCAUUUCAAUACGAAAUAAGAUUAUUGCAACAUACAGAAAGAAAAACGAUAACUAUAAAGAAGUUUCUAUUUCUUGUGUGAAGCUUAUGUGUGCAAUAAUUGAUUUUAAAUAAGUAGUAAAGUAACAUAAAAGCGGGGCAUGAUGAUAUUUAUCAUGAACUAAUUACAUAUGUUAUUAUAAAUCUAGAUUUUUUUACUGUAAAUUAUAUUAUUAAUCUUAGAAUAAUAAUUGGAAUAAUUUUUAUCAUUCUAACAAUAUAUUGUAUGGAUAUAUACUAUAUGGUAAUACAGUGUAUCAUGGCAAUGUUAAUACUCAUUUUAGAUGCAAAUAUAAUGAUAAAAGUGUGUAAUUUUAAUCACUUUAAAAUAACAAAUUUCUCUGUAUAAUUGAUUGUGUAUAAUUUUACUUACUUCUUCAUUAUUAUGUCCGUAAUAUGGUUGUUUCCCAAAGGAAUAGACUUCCCAUAGAACAACGCCGAAACUCCAUACGUCACUUUCCAAUGUGAAUCGUCCGUACAUUACGCUUUCCGGUGACAUCCAACGGAUUGGUAAAAGUCUAGAACCUUUUAUCUGAAGAAGAAUAAAGAUCUUGUUUUAUUUAUUCUAUAUAAAAAUAUUUGUGA
This is a long non-coding RNA of Apis florea (little honeybee), 890 nucleotides long. The record is from RefSeq and is a predicted model, not a curated record. Lineage: Eukaryota; Metazoa; Arthropoda; Insecta; Hymenoptera; Apidae.